CGGCAUUGUGUAUUAUAUUUCAGGGGUGCCAGCUUGUUCUACAUUUCUCCAAAUUGAGUUUUUGGAUGGAUUGGUCAGGUGGAAUGAAGCGACUGCUGUGGCCUCAGAGGGCCUGCAGACACCUCAGUCUUACAUUGGGGUUCUUCAACAAGCUGUCGACCAGCUCGGAGAGGAAGUGCUUGGAAAGAACAUUGUGUCUACUAUCAGUACAAGUAAAUACACUAGUGAACUGAUUGGGUUAGAGUACCUGUACCAUCAGACUGGCAAAGCAAUCCAGGACAGUAGAUUUAUCAUUAGACAGAUGGAAACCACUGACGUCCAAGUGGCUAAAAGUGAGGGCUGCUGCAAACUAGAGGACAAUGGGGAUUGGACAAUCGCACAUCAACCCAUAGAAGCUUCUCCAUUGAUGACAAGCCGAGGUGCUCAGUUUCAGGGGGAAGAUCUCUUUCCUCCAAUCACUAAUUAUAUAUUUCCUUUGAUAGGAUUUCUCUGCGAGCUUUCUGUCACUUCUAUAUU
This 516-nucleotide long non-coding RNA is filed under the name Sinocyclocheilus anshuiensis. RNAcentral describes it as "lncRNA (ENSSANG00000031656.1)". The record is from RNAcentral. Lineage: Eukaryota; Metazoa; Chordata; Actinopteri; Cypriniformes; Cyprinidae.